This 323-nucleotide ribosomal RNA is filed under the name uncultured bacterium. RNAcentral describes it as "bacterial SSU rRNA". It matches the Rfam family "Bacterial small subunit ribosomal RNA", at positions 335 to 666 of the family's 1533-position model. The record is from RNAcentral.
ACUCCUACGGGAGGCAGCAGUGGGGAAUCUUGGACAAUGGGCGCAAGCCUGAUCCAGCCAUGGCCGCGUGAGUGAUGAAGGCCCCUAGGGUCGUAAAAGCUCUUUCGCCAGGGAUGAUAAUGACAGUACCCUGGUAAAGAAACCCCGGCUAACUCCGUGCCAGCAGCCGCGGUAAUACGGAGGGGUUAGCGUUGUUCGGAAUUACUGGGGCGUAAAGCGCGCGUAGGCGGACUGGAAAGUUGGGGGUGAAAUCCCGGGGGCUCAAACCCCGGAACUAGCCUCCAAAACUACCCACGUCUUGAGUUCGAGAGAGGUGAGUGGAA